This 207-nucleotide ribosomal RNA is filed under the name uncultured bacterium. RNAcentral's name for it is "partial 16S ribosomal RNA". It matches the Rfam family "Bacterial small subunit ribosomal RNA", at positions 568 to 774 of the family's 1533-position model. The record is from RNAcentral.
GGUGUAGGCGGCUUGGUAAGUGUUGUGUGAAAGCCCCCGGCUCAACCGGGGAAUGGCAUGGCAUACUGCCUGGCUUGAGGUUGGUAGAGGUGCCUGGAACUCUAGGUGGAGCGGUGAAAUGCGUAGAUAUCUAGAGGAACGCCAGAGGCGAAAGCGGGGCACUGGGCCAAUUCUGACGCUGAGACCCGAAAGCGUGGGGAGCAAACA